This 253-nucleotide ribosomal RNA is filed under the name uncultured bacterium. Its description in RNAcentral is "partial 16S ribosomal RNA". It matches the Rfam family "Bacterial small subunit ribosomal RNA", at positions 524 to 776 of the family's 1533-position model. The record is from RNAcentral.
UACGUAGGGGGCAAGCGUUGUCCGGAUUUAUUGGGCGUAAAGAGCGUGUAGGCGGUUUGGUAGGUCCGUUGUGAAAACUCGAGGCUCAACCUCGAGACGUCGGUUGAAACCGUACGGCUAGAGUCCGGAAGAGGAGAGUGGAAUUCCCGGUGUAGCGGUGAAAUGCGCAGAUAUCGGGAAGAACACCCGUGGCGAAGGCGGCUCUCUGGGACGGUACUGACGCUGAGACGCGAAAGCGUGGGGAGCGAACAGG